RNAcentral lists this transfer RNA (86 nucleotides) under Clostridia bacterium. RNAcentral's name for it is "tRNA-Leu". It matches the Rfam family "tRNA". From Rfam's summary of the family: Transfer RNA (tRNA) molecules are approximately 80 nucleotides in length. Their secondary structure includes four short double-helical elements and three loops (D, anti-codon, and T loops). The record is from RNAcentral. Lineage: Bacteria; Bacillati; Bacillota; Clostridia.
GUCGAUGUGGCGGAAUAGGCAGACGCACAGGUCUCAAAAACCUGCGGAUAACAUCCAUGUGGGUUCGAUUCCCACCAUCGACACCA